GGCUCAGGAUGAACGCUGGCGGCGUGCUUAACACAUGCAAGUCGAACGAGGUAUAUUUCAGCAGAGGAUUCGUCCAAAGCAGGGAUAUACCGAGUGGCGGACGGGUGAGUAACGCGUGGGUAACCUGCCCCAUACAGGGGGACAACAGAGGGAAACUUCUGCUAAUACCGCAUAAGCGCUUUUCAUGGCAUCAUGGGAAGCGGAAAGCUCCGGCGGUAUGGGAUGGGCCCGCGUUGGAUUAGGCAGUUGGCGGGGUAACGGCCCACCAAACCGACGAUCCAUAGCCGACCUGAGAGGGUGACCGGCCACAUUGGGACUGAGACACGGCCCAGACUCCUACGGGAGGCAGCAGUGGGGAAUAUUGCACAAUGGGCGCAAGCCUGAUGCAGCGACGCCGCGUGAGCGAAGAAGUAUUUCGGUAUGUAAAGCUCUAUCAGCAGGGAAGAAGAUGACGGUACCUGCACAAGAAGCUCCGGCUAAAUACGUGCC
Molecule: ribosomal RNA, 489 nt
Filed under: uncultured organism
Description: SSU rRNA
Rfam family: Bacterial small subunit ribosomal RNA
Source: RNAcentral